Engraulis encrasicolus (European anchovy) is the source of this 199-nucleotide long non-coding RNA. RefSeq lists it as uncharacterized. The record is from RefSeq and is a predicted model, not a curated record. The transcript has 2 exons. NCBI's taxonomy places the organism in Eukaryota, Metazoa, Chordata, Actinopteri, Clupeiformes, Engraulidae.
CUACGCCAGCCUUUAACAGGAAAACCCUUAUUUUGACAUAUGUUUACAUUUGUACUCCAGCUGCGAGACCUUAGAAUGCCCAUGGUUCUUUGACAGUUAUCUCAAGCGCUACAUGAAACCCACCAGUUUAACUUCUCGUUCCUUGAACGCAGCUAAAGGCAAUCUCUUUUCACAAUCAUCCAUAAACGACCAAACUUCA